Molecule: ribosomal RNA, 310 nt
Filed under: uncultured fungus
Lineage: Eukaryota; Fungi
Description: SSU rRNA
Rfam family: Eukaryotic small subunit ribosomal RNA
Source: RNAcentral
AAGAUUAAGCCAUGCAUGUCUAAGUAUAAGCACUUUAUACUGUGAAACUGCGAAUGGCUCAUUAAAUCAGUUAUCGUUUAUUUGAUAGUACCUUACUACAUGGAUACCUGUGGUAAUUCUAGAGCUAAUACAUGCUAAAAACCCCGACUUCAGGAAGGGGUGUAUUUAUUAGAUAAAAAACCAACGCCCUUCGGGGCUCCUUGGUGAAUCAUAAUAACUUAACGAAUCGCAUGGCCUUGCGCCGGCGAUGGUUCAUUCAAAUUUCUGCCCUAUCAACUUUCGAUGGUAGGAUAGUGGCCUACCAUGGUGG